CUACCUGAUAUUUAAUGAGGUUCUGCAUAGUCAGGCCACUCAAAUGGCUGUUGUCUUGCUCUGUGUACACCCCCUGGCCCACCAGAGCCUGCUUCACCCUGCAAAGAGCUGACCUUCUAGGAAGGUACUUGCCCCAGGUCCCAGCUGGUGAUUGUUCUCAUCAAAGGGACGGUGAGGGGCGUGCCCUCUACUGGUUUCCCUGGUAACUAGUGAGCCUGCUGCUGCUGCUAAGUCGCUUCAGUCGUGUCCGACUCUGCGACCCCAUAGACAGCAGCCCACCAGGAUCCCCUAUCCCUGGGAUUCUCCAGGCAAGAUCACUGGAGUGGGUUGCCAUUUCCUUCUCCAGUGCAUGAAAAUGAUAAGUGAAAGUGAAGUCGCUCAGUCGUGUCUGACUCUUAGCAACCCCAGGGACUGCAGCCCACCAGGCUCCUCCGUCCAUGGGAUUUUCCAGGAGCGAAGACUGCCUGCGGUCCUGUCCUGCCCGCCGUCUGCUGCAAGCUCUGGGGUGUCCUCCAGGACCUUGCUUCAGACAGAUGAUGGAGCCACAGAAGAACUAGUGCCACGAAUGGAAAGCUUGUCCCAGAUCAUCCUGAGUCAGUAUUAUUGCCACAGGCUUUUGUGUAUAUGUACAUACCAAAUGAAGCUGGAAAGCUCCAAACUGCCUGCAUCUGUACCUUUACUAGCGGUUUGUUAUUUUGUAGUGAUGCACAGUUUGCUCAAGAAGUAUUUACAUUUUCCUCAUAUAGACUAUCUGCUUUCAGAAGUUGUCCAGUUUAAAUAGCGGGAAUUCAUCCACUGAAGACACACAAUUUGGUUGAAACAUCUGUUUGAUAUUCUGUGCAACCAACUUCAUCUAUUCAUUAUACAAAAAGAACAGAGUCUUAUAAUAAACUUUUUUUUUUUUCUGGUCACGGCAAUCACGCAGCUGCAGGAAACAUGGUUUAUCAUUAGAUAAUCACAUCCUUGGGGAUUGGACGCACCCGACUGUGUCUUAUGCUUUCUAUGU
Long non-coding RNA from Bos taurus (domestic cattle), 1006 nucleotides. The record is from Ensembl. Lineage: Eukaryota; Metazoa; Chordata; Mammalia; Artiodactyla; Bovidae.